RNAcentral lists this ribosomal RNA (450 nucleotides) under uncultured bacterium. RNAcentral's name for it is "partial 16S ribosomal RNA". It matches the Rfam family "Bacterial small subunit ribosomal RNA", at positions 338 to 795 of the family's 1533-position model. The record is from RNAcentral.
CCUACGGGCGGCUGCAGUAAGGAAUAUUGGUCAAUGGACGAAAGUCUGAACCAGCCAUGCCGCGUGGAGGAUGAAGGUCCUCUGGAUUGUAAACUUCUUUUAUAUGGGACGAAAAAAGGCCUUUCUAGGCCGUCUGACGGUACCAUAUGAAUAAGCACCGGCUAACUCCGUGCCAGCAGCCGCGGUAAUACGGAGGGUGCAAGCUUUAUCCGGAUUCACUGGGUUUUAGGGGUGCGUAUAAGUGUUUGUAGAAAUCGCCGAGAUUAACUUGGAAACUGCCAUUGAUACUAUUAAUCUUGAAUAUUGUGGAGGUUAGCGGAAUAUGUCAUGUAGCGGUGAAAUGCUUAGAUAUGACAUAGAACACCAAUUGCGAAGGCAGCUGGCUACACAUAUAUUGACACUGAGGCACGAAAGCGUGGGGAUCAAACAGGAUUAGAUACCCCAGUAGUC